This 542-nucleotide long non-coding RNA is filed under the name Mytilus galloprovincialis (Mediterranean mussel). The record is from RNAcentral. Lineage: Eukaryota; Metazoa; Mollusca; Bivalvia; Mytilida; Mytilidae.
GUCAUUUGGUUUUGUUAUGUCAAUGCUAUGUAGCAUGGUGGAACUAAUAUUUACUUUUUGUUGAGUUGUAGCACAAUGUUGGGAAUAUCAGUUAGAGUCCUUGCUCGGCCACAGAACACGGCCAAGGGUUGUAACAGUUAGACAAUAGACUUAGACAACAAGGACACACCAGCUUUUACAGAUGGGUCACCAGACUGGACUGGAUUCACGACUCAUCACACCACUAACUCAACUCCUUUGGUCACAUACAUUUGUACAUUGGAUCAUCAUUAGACGUUAUUUAUGCAAACCCCUAGAGCUCUGCAUUAGUAUGAUCCAGUUGAGAAUUUAUCAGGUAAUCGUCAGAUUUACUAGUUAAAAGCAGUAUUUAAUUUUAAGUUAAACCCCCUCAUGUACAAAAUGUACAUGUGAUUCCAACAUAUAACAAACAUAUUUAUAAAGAUUAAGACAACUUUUUCUAAUCUUAUGGGUUAGAUUGAAAAGAUUUGCGCAACGUUUAUAUCUCAGUUUCUAAACUUAAAAUCCAUAAAAAUUGCUGAAUG